UACGUAGGGUGCAAGCGUUGUCCGGAAUUAUUGGGCGUAAAGAGCUCGUAGGCGGUUUGUUGCGUCGGCUGUGAAAUCCCGAGGCUCAACCUCGGGUCUGCAGUCGAUACGAGCAAACUAGAGUGUUGCAGGGGAGACUGGAAUUCCUGGUGUAGCGGUGAAAUGCGCAGAUAUCAGGAGGAACACCGGUGGCGAAGGCGAGUCCCUGGACAACUCCUGACACUGGAGGCACGAAAGCUAGGGGAGCAAACAGG
This 254-nucleotide ribosomal RNA is filed under the name uncultured bacterium. RNAcentral describes it as "partial 16S ribosomal RNA". It matches the Rfam family "Bacterial small subunit ribosomal RNA", at positions 524 to 776 of the family's 1533-position model. The record is from RNAcentral.